AGUGAACGCUGGCGGUAGGCCUAACACAUGCAAGUCGAACGGCAGCACAGUAAGAGCUUGCUCUUACGGGUGGCGAGUGGCGGACGGGUGAGGAAUACAUCGGAAUCUACUUUUUCGUGGGGGAUAACGUAGGGAAACUUACGCUAAUACCGCAUACGACCUACGGGUGAAAGCAGGGGAUCUUCGGACCUUGCGCGAUUGAAUGAGCCGAUGUCGGAUUAGCUAGUUGGCGGGGUAAAGGCCCACCAAGGCGACGAUCCGUAGCUGGUCUGAGAGGAUGGAGACCGACAGUGGAAGUGAGGAACGGUCGACACACCUGGGGUGCGGCGCGGCGGGGAAUAUGAGGCAGUGGUGGGGGUGGUAAUCCAGUCAUGGGGCGAGAGAGAAGAAGGCCGUACGUUUGGUGAGCCACUAAGUGGGGAAAAAAAAGAAGCAGGUUAAUACGGCGCGAUACUGACGGUACUAAAAGAAGAAGCACCGGCUAACUUAGGG
Molecule: ribosomal RNA, 492 nt
Filed under: uncultured bacterium
Lineage: Bacteria
Description: partial 16S ribosomal RNA
Rfam family: Bacterial small subunit ribosomal RNA
Source: RNAcentral